GCCAGUGUAGCUCAGUUGGUCAGAGCAGCUGAUUUGUAAUCAGCAGGUCAUCGGUUCGACUCCGGUCACCGGCUCCA
Molecule: transfer RNA, 77 nt
Filed under: Ancylomarina sp.
Lineage: Bacteria; Pseudomonadati; Bacteroidota; Bacteroidia; Marinilabiliales; Marinifilaceae
Also listed under: 1 other name
Description: tRNA-Thr
Rfam family: tRNA
About the family: Transfer RNA (tRNA) molecules are approximately 80 nucleotides in length. Their secondary structure includes four short double-helical elements and three loops (D, anti-codon, and T loops).
Source: RNAcentral